CAAGGGAGAUAGGCUGGUGGUAUUCAGCCCUGAGAAGGCUGGCGUCGGGGGUUCAACUCCCCUCCCUGGCCACCA
RNAcentral lists this transfer RNA (75 nucleotides) under Acidobacteriota bacterium. RNAcentral's name for it is "Acidobacteria bacterium tRNA-Leu". The record is from RNAcentral. Lineage: Bacteria; Pseudomonadati; Acidobacteriota.